AGUUAAACUGUUAAGUAGUUUAUAGUGCACAAACCAGUGUGUAACUUGUGUCUUAUGAUUGUUUGCACGACAAUCAGUGAGAAGAGUGACAGGCUGCAUAUUGAGAAAUG
Long non-coding RNA from Sander lucioperca (pikeperch), 110 nucleotides. RefSeq lists it as uncharacterized. NCBI's taxonomy places the organism in Eukaryota, Metazoa, Chordata, Actinopteri, Perciformes, Percidae. The transcript is spliced from 3 exons. The record is from RefSeq and is a predicted model, not a curated record.